RNA transcript from Humulus lupulus (European hop), 2524 nucleotides. It is a transcript of the gene named myosin-binding protein 7, with no coding region annotated. The transcript is spliced from 5 exons. Lineage: Eukaryota; Viridiplantae; Streptophyta; Magnoliopsida; Rosales; Cannabaceae. The record is from RefSeq and is a predicted model, not a curated record.
CUCUCUCUCUGUUCUUUGGUUUCUGAAUCUCUCAUUCUCUCUCAUCAAAACUCAAAUCGCGAAAAUCAAGAAACGUUAACACAAAACCCAAGAAAAUAUUAUUAACAAAUUUUAUAUAUUUUUUAAAUAAAAUCAAAUAAAAAUAAGAAUUCUAGGGUUUCCAAAUUCUCUCAGUUUCCCUCUCUUUGCCUUUGAUUUUCCUUCCGUCCAAACACCCGCGAAAGUAUUAUUACGAGGAGGAAAAAGGGUACCAGCUCCGUUCGGUGGUCGAUUUUUUUCAAUUUUGUUUGUUUAUUUAGAUCCUGAGUUUUCUCGGAAAAGCUGCGUUUCCCGGGAAAUUUUUUCGCUCUAUUUCCAGCUGUAAUCGACGACCUAGUUCGGUGUGUUUUUUCUCAUGUGAUUUGUUCUGGAGGAAAAACUUGCUGGUAGUUGGAGUAAAGAAAGGGAGCAAAAUCCUUAUUAAAGGCUUUUAGAUUGUCUGAGAGAGAUUUGGAGCUCCAAGAUAACCUCUUCUUCUUCUUCUUCUUCUUCAAGGUAACCUCAAUAAUCCACAAGAUAACCUAUUUGUGGAUUAUUGAUAAAUUUCUAUAGUGAAACUGGGUUCUCUUUGAUCUUGAAUUGUUUGAAUAUUGGAUGAGAAGUGUUUUAUGGAUUUGGAAGCGUUUCCAUCUUCAAGGGACUUGGUGAAAUGUUGUAAUUGUGGUUGUAGUUGUUCCUCGAUUAGUGGUACUUCAGGGCCUUGGUUUAGGUCUGUGAAGAGAAAAUAUGACGAGGUUGAGGAAAAUAAGCCAUUCUUCAUACCAGGCUUCGAACCUUUAUCGGUUGCUCGGGUCCAAGUUGAGAAUGAAUGUGCUGCACUACGAGAGAUGGUUGGUAACCAGCAGCAAACGAUACAGGAUUUAUAUACAGAAUUAGAAGAGGAGAGAAAUGCUUCCUCGUCAGCUGCAAAUGAAGCCAUGUCUAUGAUACUCAGGCUACAGAGGGAGAAGGCUGAAAUCCAAAUGGAGGCCCGGCAAUUUAAGCGUUUUGCUGAGGAGAAAAUGGCACAUGACCAACAAGAGUUUAUGGCAAUAGAAGACCUGUUGUACAAGAGAGAGCAGGUCAUUCAAUCACUCUCAUGUGAAGUGCAGGCCUAUAAGCAUAGGAUGAUGAGUUAUGGGCUCACAGAGGCAGAGGCUGAGGGUGAGAAGGGUAAUGACAACAUGAUGGAAUUUGACUCACAAAACGAGAUUCCAAUGUUUGAAUACCCACCUUUGAGAUGCAAUCUCAAUGAGAACCUAGGUUCUUUGGAGGUUGAUGACGACGAUGUUGCAGAUGUUGAAAAACACGCAUUUGGUGAAACACCUCGUGGUAGAGAUCACUUGAAAAAUUUAGAGCAUAGGAUUCACCAGAUGGAGAGAUGUCCAAGUAAUAAUCAAUUGGAAGGGGAUUUUGCAGGUUCUAAGAACAUUUUAGAAAAGGUGAUAGUUGGCCACUCUCCUAGGCGGUCAAGACAUUCCAGGAAAUACUCAAAUGAUUCACCUUCAUUUUCAGGUAUGGUCAGAGAAGCGGGCACAGAUUUCAACACUGAAUCUCCAAGGUUCAAUGUUAGUUUCAAGAAGACAGAGUAUGUUUCACACGCAGAGGAGUACAGCACAAGAAAUGCAGAUUAUGGAUCAGAGAUUGGAGACGACAUGAGCGACAGGGUUUAUACCAUUGACUCAAUCCAUAAUGGGGUGCCUUACAAUGGUUAUGCGGAGGUUAAAGCUGGAGUUGGGAUUGGUGAGGAUAACAUAACCACUCCAAGAGGAUCUUAUAAUCAAGGUGAUAUUGGAGAUCCUGAAAUCAAGAAGCUCUAUAUGAGGCUCCAGGCACUUGAGGCUGACAGGGAAUCAAUGAGGCAAGCAAUUCUUUCAAUUGGAACAGAUAAAGCUCAACUAGUGUUACUGAAAGAAAUAGCACAACAGUUGUGCAAGGAUGUGUCACCCUCAAGACAAAUUACUGUUAAAAAGCCAUCUAUUCUUGGAAGCUUUUCCUUCAUGUCUGUUUUCAAGUGGAUCAUUUCCUUUGUUUUCUGGAAGAGGAAAGCUCGCCGAAGCAAAUACAUGUUUGGGUUAUCAGCCAACAGUAUGGGUUUGCUGAUGCUUCUGGAAAAAGGGCCCCGCACAAGGCAUUGGAGAUGUCUUACAAGCACUCAAGUGUAAAGCCAAUAAUCAAAUCAUCCAUACACUACCCUAUUGAAGAUUAUGCUCAAGUGAAAUCUGAGGAGGGUUAGGAUAGUUGGAAGGUUUUGGGAAGUACUUGUAUUGGCCUUCUGGUUAUAAAUGAAGUUCCGAAAUUAUUAUUAAGGAGUUAGGAAACUUCUGCCUUUGUGGCUUAAUUGCAAGGACAGACAGACCAAAAACGCUUCCAACAUUCGUUUUGCUAACUGAAGAAACGUCAAGAAUCAAGAUGUCAAUUACCUUUUCUUACAUCUCCAUGAAAAAGAUGAAAAAAAGACAGAAUUGAUAUUUAUUUAAAUUAUAUUAUUAAUUUUUAUCGUUUA